CCUACGGGAGGCAGCAGUGAGGAAUAUUGGUCAAUGGCCGGAAGGCUGAACCAGCCAAGCCGCGUGAAGGACGAAGGUGCCAAGCAUUGUAAACUUCUUUUGUCAAGGGACAAAAUCAGGCUCGAGAGCCUGACCGAGGGUACUUGAAGAAAAAGCAUCGGCUAACUCCGUGCCAGCAGCCGCGGUAAUACGGAGGAUGCGAGCGUUAUCCGGAUUUAUUGGGUUUAACGGGUGCGUAGGCGGGCUGUUAAGUCAGUGGUAAAAGCCCGGGGCUAAACCCCGGCGAGCCGUUGAAACUGGCUGUCUUGAGAUGUCGAGAGGUAUGCGGAAUGCGCAGUGUAGCGGUGAAAUGCUUAGAUAUUGCGCAGAACUCCGAUUGCGAAGGCAGCAUGCCGGCUCCAAACUGACGCUGAGGCACGAAAGCGUGGGGAUCGAACAGGAUUAGAUACCCGGGUAGUC
RNAcentral lists this ribosomal RNA (459 nucleotides) under uncultured bacterium. Its description in RNAcentral is "partial 16S ribosomal RNA". It matches the Rfam family "Bacterial small subunit ribosomal RNA", at positions 338 to 795 of the family's 1533-position model. The record is from RNAcentral.